GUGGACUAGCGACCACUAGUCAUCUGACUACGGGUCGGAAGGCUAGGGGUUCGAGUCCCUUCGGGC
Molecule: transfer RNA, 66 nt
Filed under: Paractinoplanes abujensis
Lineage: Bacteria; Bacillati; Actinomycetota; Actinomycetes; Micromonosporales; Micromonosporaceae
Description: tRNA-Arg
Source: RNAcentral